GAUAACUGAUAGUGUUUAUCAAAAAAAAAAAAUCUUAUCAUCCAUAACGUGUUACAUUCCAUUCACACGUCGCAUGCUCAAUAGAAGAUGUUGGAUGGCGAUGAUAUUAAGUUUUGUGACAAAGUCCAAUGGACUCUGUAUUAAUGGUAGUUAGUGAAGAAUUGCGUUUUUUUAUUAAAACAAGUAUCUUACGCUGACUAAUUGACUGAAAGGAAAAUCAAUCAAGGUUCUAUUUCGCUGAUUACAGUAUGUUUAAAAAUAUUUGUACUGUAUAUAUUUUUUAUAGAAAAAAAAGGAAACCAAGUAUAAAUACGUCCAAUAUUUAUGAUGAGAUGGGCUUAUCCUUUUCAAUGGGAGAAGCAAUGGUUCUUUGCGUGUCUACCGCAGAAACAACUCCUCGUCGAUAUCUCUCCAUUCAUACAUUACGUGUCGCCCUGUCCUUUUGUAAAAUUCUCUCAAUAGUCUGCAAAAUAAAAUUUC
RNAcentral lists this long non-coding RNA (480 nucleotides) under Brassica rapa (field mustard). RNAcentral describes it as "long non-coding RNA (BRAP_LNC004669)". Lineage: Eukaryota; Viridiplantae; Streptophyta; Magnoliopsida; Brassicales; Brassicaceae. The record is from RNAcentral.